GCCUCAAUGGUCUAGUGGUAUGAUUCGCGCUUCGGGAUAUACCCUUGCUUGUGACAAGCAACACCAAUGUGCGAGGUCCUGGGUUCGAAUCCCAGUUGAGGCC
Non-coding RNA from Neurospora crassa OR74A, 103 nucleotides. NCBI's taxonomy places the organism in Eukaryota, Fungi, Ascomycota, Sordariomycetes, Sordariales, Sordariaceae. The record is from the annotation of a RefSeq genome assembly.